This is a long non-coding RNA of Myxocyprinus asiaticus (Chinese sucker), 879 nucleotides long. RefSeq lists it as uncharacterized. The record is from RefSeq and is a predicted model, not a curated record. NCBI's taxonomy places the organism in Eukaryota, Metazoa, Chordata, Actinopteri, Cypriniformes, Catostomidae. The transcript is spliced from 4 exons.
GUCCUGGAGCUGACUGAUGUCAAUGUUGCUCUGCUCAGUGAGCUUCAGGACCAGCUGGCUGAGGGGACUCUUCUUUGGGCUCUGCUCUUGGCACUGCAGGGCUGCUUUAUGGGGGGAAGCAUUGUGGAGUAGUGGUUAGGGCUCUGGACUCCUGACCGGAAGGUCUUGUAAGGGUUCAAUCCCUGGUGGAGGACACACUGCUGCUGCACCCUUGAGCAAGCAUUGCAGCACUUUAAUGCUCAGGAGUCCCAGCAGCCCAUUCAUUGCAUGCCUCUCCAAUGAAACACAUUCUGACCUGCAGAAACUAGGUGUGAUCCUCAGAUGCAGAGAGCUGCUCAAUCCGAGCCUUCCUCCCCCUCAGCUCAGCGAUCUCCUGCUCCAGCUGAUCUCUCUGCACCCCGGCCCGCCUCAAUGCAGCCUCCUCCUGAGCGUCAAUCAUCUCCCCCACCUGCCUCAUGAUCCCCUCCAGGCAGCACAGCAGCUCCCCCAGGACCUCCUCGCUCUCCCCCCUCUCCUUCCGAGCCAAGAGCUGAGAGACAGGGGAAGGGGAAGAGGCACACCAACAAAUCACAAUCACAAUAUUACUGACAAGAGAGAGACAUAAAAUGCCAGAACGUAAAGCUGCACCCGUUCCCAAGAAAGGUUUCAGGAAGCCGUCGAUAGAGCCAGUCAAAGGGAGGAAAGAAGUGCAGCAAAUCCAGGAAGGAGAGCUACGCUUUAUGUCCUGGUAAGGAUUAACUUCCAGGCAAGACGGAAUUUCCGGAGUGGGGCAUCUGGAGGAUGCUUAGUAUGUAUUGGCAAUAAACCUGGUUCUGAUUGUUAAAUAAGUCUCCUUUAAAUUAUUCAAUGCAAUACUGCAGUAGUGAGAGCCAAAAAUAA